GAUGAACGCUGGCGGCGUGCCUAAUACAUGCAAGUCGAGCGAACGGACGAGAAGCUUGCUUUUCUGAUGUUAGCGGCGGACGGGUGAGUAACACGUGGAUAACCUACCUAUAAGACUGGGAUAACUUCGGGAAACCGGAGCUAAUACCGGAUAAUAUUUUGAACCGCAUGGUUCAAAAGUGAAAGACGGUCUUGCUGUCACUAAUAAAUGGAUCCGCGCUGCAUUAGCUAGUUGGUAAGGUAACGGCUUACCAAGGCAACGAUGCAUAGCCGACCUGAGAGGGUGAUCGGCCACACUGGAACUGAGACACGGUCCAGACUCCUACGGGAGGCAGCAGUAGGGAAUCUUCCGCAAUGGGCGAAAGCCUGACGGAGCAACGCCGCGUGAGUGAUGAAGGUCUUCGGAUCGUAAAACUCUGUUAUUAGGGAAGAACAUAUGUGUAAGUAACUGUGCACAUCUUGACGGUACCUAAUCAGAAAGCCACGGCUAACUACGUG
This 497-nucleotide ribosomal RNA is filed under the name uncultured bacterium. Its description in RNAcentral is "partial 16S ribosomal RNA". It matches the Rfam family "Bacterial small subunit ribosomal RNA", at positions 28 to 507 of the family's 1533-position model. The record is from RNAcentral.